This 4862-nucleotide long non-coding RNA is filed under the name Podarcis lilfordi (Lilford's wall lizard). The record is from RNAcentral. Lineage: Eukaryota; Metazoa; Chordata; Lepidosauria; Squamata; Lacertidae.
AUCUCAGUAAUUGAGUGCAUCUGCUUGUCUCUGUCUUUAUGCAGCUGGGACCUGGCAAAGGAGAGAAUCCAAUUAGAGGCUGCCAUGCAACAAGUAUGAGGGAUUUGGCUGUGUGGUGAUUCUCCCUUAUCUCCCCCCCACAACCUAAACCCCAAUGUUCUGUGAAUAUUAAGGUGGGCCAAGCAGUUUUUAUACCAGGGGUCAGCAAACUUUUUCAGCAGGGGGCCGGUCCAUUGUCCCUCAGACCUUGUGGGGGGGGCGGACUAUAUUUUUGGGGGGGAAAUGAAUGAAUUCCUAUGCCCCACAAAUAACCCAGAGAUGCAUUUUAAAUAAAAGGACACAUUCUACUCAUGUAAAAACACGCUGAUUCCCAGACUGUUUGUGGGCCGGAUUUAGAAGGCAAUUGGGCCGGAUCCGGCCCCCAGGCCUUAGUUUGCCUACCCAUGUUUUAUGCAUCUGAUUCCUCUUAAAGGGAAACAUACAUCAAUCUUAGGAACAAUCUUGUCUGCUAGGGCUGCACAGCCCUGGCAUCAUGUGUUUAUACAGUAUUUGGCCCCACUGUCUCAUUCAUGUUUUUCUAAUUGCUGCUUAACUCUUAGAAAUAAUGAAAACAUGGAUGUAAACCUUGACCUCAAAGUAAUCAUGCUGUUCUGGGCUUAUGACUUGCUAUCUUAUAAUCAUUGUGUGAGCCAAAGUACUUAAGGCUGUUCCAUUCCAUUUCAUCCUCACUCUUUUUGUAGUCUCACCGAUGACAAAUAAGAUACCUGUAUGGCUAAAUGCAGUGGCACUUUGCUCUUCCAUUGAAUGCCUGCCUGGUGCUGCUCAGUAGUCUCUCACUCCCUCACUUGCUGUCAUUCACUCGAAUGUUGUCACCUGACUCUUUGUUUUGGUGGGCAGGAAACCCAGAUCAGAUGCGCCCAAAUUCCAAAGGUUGUCACUGUUUCCUUCGCCGUGGCAUAAUAGAUCAUUGGAGAACCGGGCAUUUCUCCAACUAAGAACUAUAAUCCUAUGCAAUAUAGCAGUACUCCUGGAAUUCACAAUUUGAUGUGCAAUAAAACACAUGAGAUGUUUUAAAAAGUUAAUCUGGCUAUUAGUUUUCUUCCAGCUCCAGUCAUUUCUGGAAAAUAUAUAAAGCACAUGACUAUAAAUACUAGAAAUUUACUACAAUGCUAGGAAUUGCCAACAGUCCUAGUAUUAACUGAGCUGUUAAGUGCUUGCUACCAGCUGACUGUUAAUAAUUAGCUGCCCAGAUGAUAAUUCAUUUGUUCUAAAAAUGUCAAACCUUUUUAAUGCAUUAAGUGUUGCAUUCCUCUCUCUGAGAUAUUAUGGAAGUCAUAAGAUACCUAGUUGUUUACAUUAUAGAACUCCAUUUUUCACCCUUAAACUGAAUGUUCCAAAACUGCAUGACCUAUGCAACUCAAAUAGAUGCUUGCAUGGAGAAUGUACACUUGUACAGUACAUUGCAAGUGGAAAAUGUUGCUUUUAGAAGUUGACAAGGCUGCAUUGUAAAACCAGAAGCCGCUCAGAUUGUCCAUUGUUCUCUUUUUAGUUGGCAGUCAGAUGCCAAUUCAUUGUGUUGUAAUUGGGUGCCUUUUAAAAUUUGUUUGUUCCAUGUCAUGAGUACAGAGCGAUGCUUUCUUGCAUCUCUGCAAUCUUCGUUAACCUCUUGCUGUACAUGCUAAAAUAGCAAUUGUUAGAUGAGGAAGCUUUCUUUUGCCUGAUUAAUUAAAGUUUAAUAGAUUGAUUUACAGCUGAGUAAUUUAGAGUGCAAUUCUGUACAUGUCUACUCAGAAGUAACCCUCAUGAGGCUUACCUUCCCAGGAAACUGAGGAUUCACUCAGAUUAGUGAAGCAAGAGGAAUGAUCUGGAGAUUUACCAACUCCAUAGUUUGCAUUUUUCCUCUGAGAAUAACAGAUUAGAUGUGACAUAUGGCAUCUCUGUGUUUUUCCCCAUGGUGCAAAUAGCAGCUUUGUGGGAGGAGUAAUUUUGAUUGGAGAAAACAGAGUGGGGAAAAGGCUUAACUCUCACUCCCCCAGUACUGCAGUCCCAGCUGGAUUCCCUGCAGUUGCUAUUUUAAACAAAUAAAAACUGCAGGAACUCUGAUCACAGAUUCCCCAAUGUCAUGCCUAGCUUGGCCCUGAGUAAAACAUUGUUUCUAAACUUGCUAUGCCUUGAGAAUUGUUUUGGUUGUCAUCCUUGUGCACAAGUACAGAGAUACAGGUAUUACUUACUUCUUCUUUACUGGGGGGCAGGGGGCGGAAACUGUCUUGCUCAUGACAGGAACCUUCCAUGCAAUAUUAGUCAUCUAAAUAUUUCUUCAAAUGCCUCUUCUAAAACACAUUUUGAAAGUGAAGGAUGUCUCUAGCCUUCCACAAUGUGAUUAUUUAUUUUAUCUUGGUUCUGAAAAAUCUCUUCAUUGGUGGAUAAAACUUUAACUAAUAUCACAGAACAAUAAAAUCAUCCAAAUUAGACUGAAAUGAAAACAUUUUAGUGCCUUGGAAACUUUGUUAAUCAUGUUAUCUUAGUGUUAUUUGCCCUAAACUUGAUCAGAGAGUAUUGGACCCAAGGUAAAGUGAUCUUUCUUGAAGAAGGAAACCUGUUAGAACAUUCACAAUAUGUCCAACUGUUAGUUUCCUUCUGUUUCUUCCUAAAACUCCUUCCAUUCAUUCCCAGUUUGUUGAUGGUCCAAAGCAUUAGGUUGGAUACCACGUCUAUCUUGUUUGAUAGCUGCUGAUGUUUGUGGGAGAUGAGCCUGAAUGUUUCUUGUUCCUGAGCAAAAUCCCCCGUUGAGUUUAGUAGAUGGCACUACCUCCCACUCAGUAUUCGUGGGGAAGGGGGUACAAGGAUCAUUAAUGGGUGCUUUGGAUGCACUGGCCAUUCUCCUCCACUCACAAAUAUCCAAAGUAUGUGUUGCCAUUGUUGCCUGAAAAUAUAAGUUUCAAGGGUAGAGGUGUGUGUGUGUGUGUGUGCGCGCGUGUGUGUGUGUGUUAUUGAAAGGGAGCACCACAUACUCAAAAACCAUACUGUCUGCUCUGGUAAAUGCAUAUCUGAUGACAUCUCAUCACCUUCUACUAUUUCUGGUGUUAUUGCAGGAUUUCAGGGAGAGGGAAUGUAGGAGCAACUGUUACUGUGAACUUCCCUAGCCAUGGUAGGGAAAAGAAGCCUGACAUUGCUGAUCCAUUUCCCAGAAAUUGUUAGGCUACACUUGUGACUUCAGUAAGGCUGUUUGCUUUUCACGAGUCAUUCUUCAGAUAUGAGACCCUUUUCACAGGAUACAAUGGAAACCUGGCGGAACAGAGAAAACCAGUGGGACAUGGUUAUGUCAGGAUACAAACUUGAUUAGAAGGACAGGGAAGGUUGUACUGGAGGUGGUGUCAUCCUGUGCAUCAUUGAGUCCAGCAAUGCAGAAAUCCCCAAAGGAGCAGAUUCCUACGCAAAAUUUUUGUGGGUGGUGAUAUCAGACCCCAAGAGUAAUUUACUACUGUGGAUGUGCUAUCACCCCACUGCUAAAAUUCUCAUAGAGAUACUGAGAAGAGGAAUGAAAUCAAGUAAACAUUCAAAAGAUGAAAUGUUGUAGUAAUGUGUGACUUCAGCUACCCUCACAUAGAUGGGCUACGUAUGUGUUCCAGUGAAAUUUCCAUAUACCCUAAAUGACUGUGCCCUAGAACAUUUGGGUCAGUGUCCCCCAGACUUACAGACAGACAAUAAACCCCACAUAGAUACCUUAUACCCAGGAGGAACGAGUAAUACAUUAAAAGACAUUCUGUGCCCUUCUAAAAGGCCACAGAGAGUUGAAGGUCGAUUGCCUGGUUAUAGAGAAAAAUUUUGCCUGGCACCUGAAUAUAUGUUAUGAUGGUGCCAGGCAAGCCUCCCUGCUAAAAGCAUUCCACAUAUGGGGAGCCACCCCCAGAAAAAAUACCUGUUCCCAUGUUGCCACCCUCCAGACCUCUCGUGGUGGGGGGAGGCACAUGAAGAAGGGCCUCAGGAGAUGAUUGUAGGGUCUGCGUUGGUUCAUAUGGGGAGAGGUGGUUCUUGAGGUAUUGUGAUCCUGAGCCAUAUAAGGCUUUAUAGGUCAAAAAAUUGAAUUGGACCCAGAAACUAAUUGUUAGCCACUGCAUUCAGGCCAGGACUGAUGUUAUAUGCUCAAACUGUCUUGUCCUGGUAGCAACCUGACCGCUGAAUUCUGCAGCAGCUGAAGUUUCCAAACCAUCUUUAGAGGAAGGCCCAUAUGUAACACAUUGCAGAAAUCAAAUUUAGAGGUUACCUGAGCAUAGACAACAGAAGGGGCAUGACUGAGCUACCAGCCGAAGCUAAUGAAAGGCACUCUGUGCCCCCUCAGUCUCAAGUAACAUGAAUGGAUCCAGAAGUCCUCCUCCAAGCUGCAUAUCCACUCAUUCAGAGGGGGUGUAAUCUCAUCAAGAACAUGCAACCUCCCAUCCAUCUGGUCUAACAGUGCCUCAGUCUUAUCUGGAUUGAGCUUCAGUUUGUUGGCUCUCAUCUGGUCUGUUACUGAGGCAAGACAUCAGUCUAGCACAUUUACUGCCACACCUGCAGACGUAAAGGAGAAUUGGAGCUAUGUGUCAUCAGCAUAUUGCUGACAACGUACUCCAAAACUCCAGAUGACCCCUGGUGGAAAGUAUUGUUAAAGAUAAAAUAACCAAGCAUAUAGAACUGCAAGCCUUGCUGAAGCAGAGCCAGCGUGGCUUCUGCAAGGGCAAGUCUUGUCUUAUGAACCUAAUAGAAUGGUAUGAGACUGUCAACAAGCAUACUGUAGCUAGAGGUGAUCUGGUUGACAUAAUGAGCUUGGAUUUUCAAAAAGCUUUUGACAAGGUACCUCACCAAAGACUCCUUAGCUGGUAUAG